RNAcentral lists this ribosomal RNA (105 nucleotides) under Treponema sp. RNAcentral describes it as "partial 16S ribosomal RNA". It matches the Rfam family "Bacterial small subunit ribosomal RNA", at positions 1 to 104 of the family's 1533-position model. The record is from RNAcentral. Lineage: Bacteria; Pseudomonadati; Spirochaetota; Spirochaetia; Treponematales; Treponemataceae.
AUCAUGGAGAGUUUGAUCCUGGCUCAGAACGAACGCUGGCGGCGCGUCUUAAGCAUGCAAGUCGAAUGGCAAGAUAGAGCUUGCUCUAUCCUAGAAUGGCGGACU